UACGUAGGGUGCAAGCGUUGUCCGGAAUUAUUGGGCGUAAAGAGCUCGUAGGCGGUUUGUCGCGUCUGCUGUGAAAUCCCGAGGCUCAACCUCGGGUCUGCAGUGGGUACGGGCAGACUAGAGUGUGGUAGGGGAGAUUGGAAUUCCUGGUGUAGCGGUGGAAUGCGCAGAUAUCAGGAGGAACACCGAUGGCGAAGGCAGAUCUCUGGGCCAUUACUGACGCUGAGGAGCAAAAGCAUGGGGAGCGAACAGG
Molecule: ribosomal RNA, 253 nt
Filed under: uncultured bacterium
Lineage: Bacteria
Description: partial 16S ribosomal RNA
Rfam family: Bacterial small subunit ribosomal RNA
Source: RNAcentral